This is a long non-coding RNA of Heterocephalus glaber (naked mole-rat), 1594 nucleotides long. Lineage: Eukaryota; Metazoa; Chordata; Mammalia; Rodentia; Bathyergidae. The record is from Ensembl.
GAUUGCACUUCAUAAGUGAAAAACUAAUGUGGGGGCCGGGGAUUUAGCUCAGUGGUUCCGGCGUCUGCCUCGCAAGCGCAAGGUCCCAAGUUCCAUCCCCGGUACCAAAAACAAAACAAAACAAAAAAAAAACCACAUUGCUGUUCAUCUGUUAAUCCUCCUCCAAAUAUUCCUUGACUCCAACCCCCACCGUUCUUGCCACUUCCUGAAGCAGUUCUACAAGAGACACUCUUCCAUGAGUGUCUUUAGUGGUGCUGUUGCGGCUGCCACAAUGUCCUAAAUCAUAUCCAAACAUUGACCUCCAUGGUAAUUUUGACUUUGGGGAAGAGCCAAAGGCCACACAGGCAAAUCUGGUGUAUCCUGUAUACAAUAUAAGGGACAGAAAGAGGCUUGUCGUGUUUCUUGCUUGCUUUGCUACCUCCUGCCACCAUGAACGUCUUCUCUCUGCAAUGCCUGUCUGCCAUGAGCCACUCUCGCUUGGAGUCAGCCAAACAUGGAUUGAAACCGCGGCAAACUGAAUCUUCAUACUCAUUUCCUUAGUGGUGGUACCAGUUUACACUCCUACCAACAGUGAAGAAGAGUUCCUUUUUCUCCAAGGCUUCUCCAGCAUUUGGUUGUUUUGUGGGCUAGUAUCAGUUCUGUUUUGGAAAAAGUCCCAUGUGCUGCUGAGCAGGUGUAUUCUGAUGCUGUUGGGUGAAACACUCUAUAAACACUACUGACAUUACUAAAUAUCUUAAUGCACACGACAAGAUUGCUUCAAUGAAAACAGAAGUGUGAGAACUGCAUGAAGAGUUGAUCACAGGACUAUGAGUCAUCAUGCCAGGGCCUUUAGGUUAUAAAAAUUACAGCAUGGAUAAAGAAUAUUAAUCAUCAGCUACCUUUCUUCAACCAAAAACUCCUGGAAUAUCUUUAAUGCUUCAGAGAUGAGCAGCAGACAAUUUAAAAGAAAGGAUAAAGGAUGCAACCGAGCUGUUUCUAUGUGACUCGAGUCUUGAAAGAUUGUAUUGUGGCACAAUAAAAAUGUCCUUGCAGGCUGUAGAGGUAGAAAAUUGGGUUAACCUAUCUUUAAUACAGAAACUAAUUUUCAGUAAUACCCACAUUUUUAGUCUUGUGUUUUCUUUUUCUUUUUUUUUUUUUUUUUGGUGCCAGGAUCAAACUCGGGACCUUGCGUUUUGUGAGGCAGAUGCUGAACCACUGAGCUAAAUCUCCUGCCCUAGUCUUGUGUUUUCUUAUUUAUUUAAUGUUCAGGGCUGCUGUGGAUUGUAUUCAGGGCCUCAGGCAAGCUAAGCACACACCAAAGCACUGAGCUAUACCACCAGCCCCUCCCCUCUUUUUUUUGUACCGGGAUCGAAGUCGGAACCUUGCGCUGCCUAGGCAGGCACCUGAACCACUGAGCUAAAUCCCCACCCCCGCUCCUUUUGCUUUUUUGAGAAAAGGUCUGGCUAUACAGUUCAGGCUGUCCUUGAACUCACUGCAGUUCUCCUGCCUCAUCCACCCAAGUGCUGAGAUGAUAGGCAUGCACCACGCCACCUGGCUUCUCUUAACCUUUUGAUGUAGCUUUGGCAGAUAGAAUCAUGCUUGAAGCUAGAGGCUG